This 72-nucleotide small RNA is filed under the name Olleya sp. Hel_I_94. RNAcentral's name for it is "Flavo-1 RNA". The stretch from base 9 to 72 matches the Rfam family "Flavo-1 RNA", at positions 9 to 76 of the family's 76-position model. The record is from RNAcentral. Lineage: Bacteria; Pseudomonadati; Bacteroidota; Flavobacteriia; Flavobacteriales; Flavobacteriaceae.
GUGCGUUAGGGAUGGAAGUGGCAUCCUUUUUUAUUUUUCUUAAAAAAGAUAUAACGGACAGCCUGUUAAAAC